RNAcentral lists this microRNA precursor (102 nucleotides) under Podarcis lilfordi (Lilford's wall lizard). The record is from RNAcentral. Lineage: Eukaryota; Metazoa; Chordata; Lepidosauria; Squamata; Lacertidae.
GGUCCUCAGAUGUUGUUGAACUAUAACUCCCAUCACCCCUAGCCAGCAAGCUCAGAGCUCAGGGAUGAUGGGAGUUGUAGUUCAACAACAUAUGGGGACCCA